RNAcentral lists this ribosomal RNA (492 nucleotides) under uncultured bacterium. RNAcentral describes it as "partial 16S ribosomal RNA". It matches the Rfam family "Bacterial small subunit ribosomal RNA", at positions 29 to 507 of the family's 1533-position model. The record is from RNAcentral.
AGUGAACGCUGGCGGUAGGCCUAACACAUGCAAGUCGAACGGCAGCACAGUAAGAGCUUGCUCUUACGGGUGGCGAGUGGCGGACGGGUGAGGAAUACAUCCGAAUCUACUUUUUCGUGGGGGAUAACGUAGGGAAACUUACGCUAAUACCGCAUACGACCUACGGGUGAAAGCAGGGGAUCUUCGGACCUUGCGCGAUUGAAUGAGCCGAUGUCGGAUUAGCUAGUUGGCGGGGUAAAGGCCCACCAAGGCGACGAUCCGUAGCUGGUCUGAGAGGAUGAUCAGCCACACUGGAACUGGGACACGGUCCAGACGCCUACGGGAGGCAGCAGUGGGGAAUAUUAGACAAUGGGCGCAAGCCUGAUCCAGCCAUACCGCGUGGGUGGAGGAGGCGUUCGGGUUGUAAAGCCCUUUUGUUGGGAAAGAAAAGCAGCAGGUUAAUACCCCGCUGUUCUGACGGUACCCAAAGAAUAAGCACCGGCUAACUUCGUG